Molecule: small nuclear RNA, 190 nt
Filed under: Castor canadensis (American beaver)
Lineage: Eukaryota; Metazoa; Chordata; Mammalia; Rodentia; Castoridae
Description: U2 spliceosomal RNA (ENSCCNG00000008568.1)
Rfam family: U2 spliceosomal RNA
About the family: U2 is a small nuclear RNA (snRNA) component of the spliceosome (involved in pre-mRNA splicing). Complementary binding between U2 snRNA (in an area lying towards the 5' end but 3' to hairpin I) and the branchpoint sequence (BPS) of the intron results the bulging out of an unpaired adenosine, on the BPS, which initiates a nucleophilic attack at the intronic 5' splice site, thus starting the first of two transesterification reactions that mediate splicing.
Source: Rfam by way of RNAcentral
UUUGCUUCUCAGUCUUUUGGUUAAGAUCCAGUAUAGUGCUUGUUCCUAUCAGUUUCCUAUUUGAUUUGUUUGUCUGAGGACAAUAUAUUUAAUGGACUUUUGGAACAGGGAGAAGGAAUAGGAGCUCGCUUCAUUCACACUUCAUGUAUCCUCCUGGUAUUGCAGCUCCCCCAGGAAUGGUGAAGAAGGA